UGGCUCAGGACGAACGCUGGCGGCGUGCUUAACACAUGCAAGUCGAACGGUAAGNCCCUUUCGGGGGUACACGAGUGGCGAACGGGUGAGUAACACGUGGGUANUCUGCCCUGCACUCUGGGAUAAGCCUGGGAAACUGGGUCUAAUACCGGAUAUGANCCUUUCAUCGCAUGGUGGGGGUUGGAAAGUUUUUUCGGUGCAGGAUGUGCCCGCGGCCUAUCAGCUUGUUGGUGGGGUAAUGGCCUACCAAGGCGACGACGGGUAGCCGGCCUGAGAGGGUGAUCGGCCACACUGGGACUGAGACACGGCCCAGACUCCUACGGGAGGCAGCAGUGGGGAGUAUUGCACAAUGGGCGGAAGCCUGAUGCAGCGACGCCGCGUGGGGGAUGACGGUCUUCGGAUUGUAAACCCCUUUCAGUAGGGACGAAGCGCAAGUGACGGUACCUGCAGAAGAAGCACCGGCCAACUACGUGCCAGCAGCCGCGGUAAUACGUAGGGUGCGAGCGUUGUCCGGAAUUACUGGGCGUAAAGAGCUCGUAGGCGGUUUGUCGCGUCGUCUGUGAAAACUCGGAGCUUAACUCCGGGCGUGCAGGCGAUACGGGCAGACUUGAGUACUACAGGGGAGACUGGAAUUCCUGGUGUAGCGGUGAAAUGCGCAGAUAUCAGGAGGAACACCGGUGGCGAAGGCGGGUCUCUGGGUAGUAACUGACGCUGAGGAGCGAAAGCAUGGGUAGCGAACAGGAUUAGAUACCCUGGUAGUCCAUGCCGUAAACGGUGGGCGCUAGGUGUGGGGGUCUUCCACGAUCUCCGUGCCGUAGCUAACGCAUUAAGCGCCCCGCCUGGGGAGUACGGCCGCAAGGCUAAAACUCAAAUGAAU
RNAcentral lists this ribosomal RNA (877 nucleotides) under uncultured bacterium. RNAcentral's name for it is "bacterial SSU rRNA". It matches the Rfam family "Bacterial small subunit ribosomal RNA", at positions 20 to 910 of the family's 1533-position model. The record is from RNAcentral.